GUCAUUUUCAAGCUCACCAUUUAACUCUGUCAAACAUCCAAGCGUAAACAUCAAGACCUUGCGGCCCUGAGCCAAUGUGUCAGUCCCACCAGCCAGCCUAGACCAGACUAGCUAAACUAGCCAGCCCAGACCAGACCAGACCAGCGGACCAACGCGAGAUUUGUAAUGAUCCUUCCGCAGGUUCACCUACGGAAA
RNAcentral lists this unclassified non-coding RNA (195 nucleotides) under uncultured fungus. RNAcentral's name for it is "sequence contains ITS1". The record is from RNAcentral. Lineage: Eukaryota; Fungi.